CAUAUACGAGAACGGGCCAGAAAUGGUCAACUCUUUGGACACUCGUAAACAGGUGGUGCAUGGUUGUCGUCAGCUCGUGUCGUGAGAUGUUGGGUUAAGUCCCGCAACGAGCGCAACCCUCGUUCUAUGUUGCCAGCACGUAAUGGUGGGAACUCAUGGGAUACUGCCGGGGUCAACUCGGAGGAAGAGUGGGGAUGACGUCAAAUCAUCAUGCCCCU
Molecule: ribosomal RNA, 218 nt
Filed under: uncultured Actinomycetes bacterium
Lineage: Bacteria; Bacillati; Actinomycetota; Actinomycetes
Description: uncultured actinobacterium partial 16S ribosomal RNA
Rfam family: Bacterial small subunit ribosomal RNA
Source: RNAcentral